Molecule: long non-coding RNA, 837 nt
Organism: Capsicum annuum
Lineage: Eukaryota; Viridiplantae; Streptophyta; Magnoliopsida; Solanales; Solanaceae
Exons: 3
Source: RefSeq, a predicted model, not a curated record
UCCUCACCCUUCUAGAUAUUUCUCUCUCUCUUUCUCUCCGCAGUCCGCACACAAUCAUACAAUUCUACUUCCUCAAGCUCUCAAACACCAAAUUCAGAUCCAAAUAACAACAAGAACACUAGCUUCUGAGGCAGAUGCUUGGUGGUUCACUAUUUUUUCUGUUGUUUCUCUGUCUUUAAGCGGUGAUCGAUAAAAGGAUUCAAAUGACGGUACAAGAGGGUACUGGUUUUAGCUUGGAUAUGACUACCAUUGGGCAUAUUACUUGAAUCGAUAAUUUUAAUGGAAGUAUUGAUGAACCUUUAGAAGAUGGGUGCAAUGCUGUUCAUAUUACUUGUCGGUAUGGCCAUCUGUCAUGUGUGGAGCUACUGUUACAGAGGGGAGCUUCUUGUGCCCUGGUGUUCCUACAUUUGAAAAUACCAUUCCUGCUCAAACCUUAACUUUUCUCACCAAACUUAAAUGGUUCAAUAUGGAUAUUGUGGAAAGGGAAUGGAUAUUGUGUUAUGUUAGAAAAGAAUUAGUCGACCUCUAGAAUUGCAUUGUGAAGUCUCCAGACAACUCAGUGGUCUUCCAUAUAUUACAGCUGCACUACCAAGUAUUAUGUUAAAGAAGAAAGAAGAAAGUAUACUACUGAUUGAAGCAGGAUAGCCAAUGUCAACUUUGAGCAAUUGAGUUUGAGAGUUUGGUUGCAAGAAGCAGCAUAAGCUACAAAAAAAAAAGCAUUAACUAAAGACUUGGAUUGGUUGUUGGAAGGACACAAUAUAUGUUUAUGUUUUACUGUGCGUAUUGUAAAGAGCAACUUUCGUCAUAUUCAUACAUAUAAAACCUUUGAAUUGUUAA